This 362-nucleotide ribosomal RNA is filed under the name uncultured fungus. RNAcentral describes it as "bacterial SSU rRNA". It matches the Rfam family "Eukaryotic small subunit ribosomal RNA", at positions 226 to 587 of the family's 1831-position model. The record is from RNAcentral. Lineage: Eukaryota; Fungi.
UUGCUUUUAUAAUAACUUCUCGAAUCAGCAUGGCCUUGUCGACAUGGCGAUGCAUUUCCACUUCAAAUAUCUGCCCUACUCAACUUUACGACUGGUAGGAUAGAGGCCUACCAUGGUUUACAACGGGUAACGGGGGACAUAAGGGUUCGAUAUUCCGGCACAGGGAGCUGAGAAACGGCUACCACAUCCAAGGAAGGCAGCAGGCGCGCAAAUUACCCAAUCCCGACACGGGGAGGUAGUGACAAUAAAUAACAAUAUAGGGCUCUUUUGGGUCUUAUAAUUGGAAUGAGUACAAUUAUAAAUACCCUUAACGAGGAACAAUUGGAGGGCAAAGUCUGGUGCCAGCAAGCCGGGUAAUUCCA